This 494-nucleotide ribosomal RNA is filed under the name uncultured bacterium. RNAcentral describes it as "partial 16S ribosomal RNA". It matches the Rfam family "Bacterial small subunit ribosomal RNA", at positions 28 to 507 of the family's 1533-position model. The record is from RNAcentral.
GACGAACGCUGGCGGCGUGCUUAACACAUGCAAGUCGAACGGUGAAGCGCCUUCCUUUUUGGUGGGUGUGGAUGAGUGGCGAACGGGUGAGUAACACGUGAGUAACCUGCCCCCUUCUUCUGGAUAACCGCAUGAAAGUGUUGCUAAUACGGGAUAUUCUGGGUCUGUCGCAUGAUGGGUCUGGGAAAGAUAUUGUUUCGGUGGGGGAUGGGCUCGCGGCCUAUCAGCUUGUUGGUGGGGUGAUGGCCUACCAAGGCGGUGACGGGUAGCCGGCCUGAGAGGGUGGACGGUCACACUGAGACUGAGACACGGCCCAGACUCCUACGGGAGGCAGCAGUGGGGAAUAUUGCACAAUGGGCGCAAGCCUGAUGCAGCGACGCCGCGUGAGGGAUGGAGGCCUUCGGGUUGUGAACCUCUUUCGCCAGUGAAGCAGGCCUGCCUCGUUUGUGGGUGGGUUGACGGUAGCUGGAUAAGAAGCGCCGGCUAACUACGUG